GUUUGGAGAGCUGCUUCGUAGCUGUGGAAAGUCCUUGAAAAUGCAAAUGGAAUUGAUGUGAGUUGAUAUUAGGUCUGCUGGAUUGUUGGGAUUUCUCCCGAUGAGUUAUAGGUCGAACUUCCUGAUCCUGUGGCUCUGCGAUGAAAUUGACAGUGUGAUGGGGAGUACAAGCCAAUUUAAAAAAAUAGUUUCAGUUGAAUGUGUUGUUGGUCUAUUUGACACUUGUUUAGACAUUGGUAUUAAGAAUAAUUGGUACAAGUAAUUAUUUAUCAUAUAGUUAAUGCUUGUCUGGAUUUCCUGAAUAAAAAAUGUUACAGAACUAAACUGUUGUUCUGAUCUGUCCUCUCGAGGUUAUCAUGAAAGGUGAGGUCAGUCGGUGUCUUAAUGCAUGGAAGAGAUAAUUGGACCGAACAGUGUGUGUACCUCAAAACCCACUCUAACUCGCUGAAGAAGAGUGACAAAGGCGUUGAAUACGGCCCUGUCCACACCACUUCUACCGAGAGACCUGAGUCCUGAGCCAGCAACUUGUAUGCAGCGUACGAACUCUCAGGAGUGUGACAGGAGUCCACGUGGAGUGAGCAUGGGGAGAGAUCUGUUCCAAACUUCUCUUAUGUUGCUGGUGUACUGGUUGACAAAUAGAAUAGACAUAAUGGGUGGUAAAGGUGGUGGCGGCUCAGGUAGGACAUUGAAAUUGGGACAUUUUCAUGGGCCAUCCACUUUGCACUGUAAAGCUAUGUGAAAAAGACAAUGAAGAAGACGCCAGAAGAAUCGGUGCUUGAUGGGUGUGUGUGUGUGUGUGUGUGUGUGUGUGUGUGUGUGUGUGUGUGUGUGUGUGUGUGUGUGUGUGUGUGUGUGUGUGUGUGUGUGUGUGUGUGUGUGUGUGUGUGUGUGUGUGUGU
RNAcentral lists this long non-coding RNA (898 nucleotides) under Salmo salar (Atlantic salmon). RNAcentral describes it as "lncRNA (ENSSSAG00000095751.1, ENSSSAG00000107710.1)". The record is from RNAcentral. Lineage: Eukaryota; Metazoa; Chordata; Actinopteri; Salmoniformes; Salmonidae.